GAUGAACGCUGGCGGCGUGCCUAAUACAUGCAAGUCGAGCGAACAGAUAAGGAGCUUGCUCCUUUGACGUUAGCGGCGGACGGGUGAGUAACACGUGGGUAACCUACCUAUAAGACUGGAAUAACUCCGGGAAACCGGGGCUAAUGCAGGAUAACAUGUUGAACCGCAUGGUUCUACAGUGAAAGGCGGCUUUGCUGUCACUUAUAGAUGGACCCGCGCCGUAUUAGCUAGUUGGUGAGGUAACGGCUCACCAAGGCAACGAUACGUAGCCGACCUGAGAGGGUGAUCGGCCACACUGGAACUGAGACACGGUCCAGACUCCUACGGGAGGCAGCAGUAGGGAAUCUUACGCAAUGGGCGAAAGCCUGACGGAGCAACGCCGCGUGAGUGAUGAAGGUCUUCGGAUCGUAAAACUCUGUUAUUAGGGAAGAACAAAUGCGUAAGUAACUGUGCGCGUCUUGACGGUACCUAAUCAGAAAGCCACGGCUAACUACGUG
This 497-nucleotide ribosomal RNA is filed under the name uncultured bacterium. RNAcentral describes it as "partial 16S ribosomal RNA". It matches the Rfam family "Bacterial small subunit ribosomal RNA", at positions 28 to 507 of the family's 1533-position model. The record is from RNAcentral.